GCCAGAGCUCAGUGAGGGUCCAGGAAAGCAGACAAAAGAAUCUUUAUCUCCUGCCAUUGGACAGUGGAGGCACUGAACUUUCCAGUAGGGGAGCUACAUGAUCAGAGGCAUUUCAGAAAUUUUAAUCUCACACUGAAGUGCUAGACAUAUUGGAAGCAGGAGGAAAAACAGGAAGCAGCAGGGAGGCUGGAAAGGAAACGGAGUUCAUGAGCCAGAAGCAGGGUCAGGACCAGGGUCCUCAUGCUGAAUUCAGCUUCAGGGCUGGGUAGAAGACUGGGAUGAAGUUGCUCCUCAUCUCUCUGUCCUGGCUAUGAGCAGGCAACACCUGGGUCAG
RNAcentral lists this long non-coding RNA (334 nucleotides) under Callithrix jacchus (white-tufted-ear marmoset). Its description in RNAcentral is "lncRNA (ENSCJAG00000074772.1)". Lineage: Eukaryota; Metazoa; Chordata; Mammalia; Primates; Cebidae. The record is from RNAcentral.